Molecule: ribosomal RNA, 256 nt
Filed under: uncultured bacterium
Lineage: Bacteria
Description: partial 16S ribosomal RNA
Rfam family: Bacterial small subunit ribosomal RNA
Source: RNAcentral
CGGGACGGGUGAGUAACGCGUGGGCAACCUGCCCGUGGCCGGGGGAUACCGCCUGGAAACAGGCGCUAAUACCGCAUAAGCGCAUACAGCCGCAUGGCAGUAUGCGGAAAGCUCCGGCGGCACGGGAUGGGCCCGCGCCCGAUUAGCCAGUUGGCGGGGUAACGGCCCACCAAAGCGACGAUCGGUAGCCGGCCUGAGAGGGCGGACGGCCACAUUGGGACUGAGACACGGCCCAAACUCCUACGGGAGGCAGCAG